CGCGUGGAUAACCUGCCUCACACAGGGGGAUAACAGUUAGAAAUGACUGCUAAUACCGCAUAAGCGCACGGCAUCGCAUGAUGCAGUGUGAAAAACUCCGGUGGUGUGAGAUGGAUCCGCGUCUGAUUAGGUAGUUGGUGGGGUAACGGCCCACCAAGCCGACGAUCAGUAGCCGACCUGAGAGGGUGACCGGCCACAUUGGGACUGAGACACGGCCCAA
Molecule: ribosomal RNA, 220 nt
Filed under: uncultured bacterium
Lineage: Bacteria
Description: partial 16S ribosomal RNA
Rfam family: Bacterial small subunit ribosomal RNA
Source: RNAcentral